AGAAGAACUAUGGACAUGGGAACAUUAGUCGAUUUUAUUGCAGCUGGUUUACCAGAAUUCGUUUUAAAUAAAAUAGAUAGAGAUACAUUAAAAGACACUGUCGAUUUAUUUAAUGAGAUAGAGUUAAAUACCUUAGACACAUCAUACAAAACAACUCAGUCAGACCAAUAAAAGAUAAUUUAAUCUCGAUAAAAAAUUUUCCUACUCCGAAAACGCAAAAGAAUAUCAGGCAGUUUCUAGGAAAAAUAAAUUUUUAUCAUGAAUACAUACCAAGGGAUGCAAUUAUUCUAGACCCUCUCCAUCAUUUGUUAAGAAAAAAUCAAAAAUUUGUUUGGUCUGAAAAUUGUCAAACAGCAUUUAACAAAAUAAAACAACUUUUGUGUACACAACCGAUACUAGAGAUAUUCGAUCAAGAAUUGCCAAUCAAUAUUUACACAGAUGCAUUAAUUGAAGGUAUAGGAGCAAUUUUGAAACAAACUCAACAAAAUGGAGAAGAAAAACCGGUGGCAUAUUUCUUGAAGAAGCUCAACGACGUCCAAAAAAAGAAAAAAGCUAUCUACCUUGAAUGCUUAGCGAUAAAAGAAGCAAUCAGAUAUUAGCAAUAUUGGCUUAUAGGAAAAACAUUUACCGUGUAUUCAGACCAUAAACCACUGUAAAACUUAAAUAUAAAAUCUAGAACAGAUGAAGAAUUAGGUGAGUUAACAUAUUACUUAUCUCAAUACGAUUUUAAAAUAAAAUACAAUCCAGGAAGAAACAACACAGAAGCAGAUUGGCUAAGUAGGAAUCCGGUUCUAGAACCAAAUGAAAACGAAGAAGAACAGUUAAAAAUCGUUAAUUUAAUAAAAUUAGAUGAUAUUUUAAAAAACCAAAGAGAAAAUGAAGAGAUAAAAAGUAUGAAUAAGCUGAUAAAAAAACAAAAUAUAUACUUUCAAAAAGUCAGAAAAAAAGAAAAAAUUAUUUUAUCCGAAGAUUUUAGUGUCAAAUUUAUAAAAAACGUAUAUAAAAAUCUGUGCCACAUAGGGAUAGGACAAA
Molecule: long non-coding RNA, 1032 nt
Organism: Hylaeus volcanicus
Lineage: Eukaryota; Metazoa; Arthropoda; Insecta; Hymenoptera; Colletidae
Exons: 2
Source: RefSeq, a predicted model, not a curated record